UGGGGAAUAUUGGACAAUGGGGGCAACCCUGAUCCAGCGAUGCCGCGUGCGUGAAGAAGGCCUGAGGGUUGUAAAGCACUUUAGUUGGGGAGGAGAUUUCGAGUAUGAAUAAUGCUUGGAGGAGACGUUACCCAAAGAAUAAGCACCGGCAAACUCUGUGCCAGCAGCCGCGGUAAUACAGAGGGUGCAAGCGUUAAUCGGACUUACUGGGCGUAAAGCGCACGUAGGUGGUUAAGUAAGUUAGUUGUGAAAUCCCUGGGCUUAACCUGGGAACUGCAAUUAAGACUGCUAGACUAGAGUCGAAGAGAGGGAAGCGGAAUUUCCGGUGUAGCGGUGAAAUGCGUAGAUAUCGGAAGGAACAUCAGUGGCGAAGGCGGCUUCCUGGAUUCAGACUGACACUGAGGAGCGAAAGCGUGGGUAGCGAACAGGAUUAGAUACCCAUGUAGUCCCUGAGCGGGCUGGCAAGGCGCAU
RNAcentral lists this ribosomal RNA (472 nucleotides) under uncultured bacterium. RNAcentral's name for it is "bacterial SSU rRNA". It matches the Rfam family "Bacterial small subunit ribosomal RNA", at positions 355 to 825 of the family's 1533-position model. The record is from RNAcentral.